AUGUGUGUGGGUGACAAUCAAUCACAACAAAAAUUUUGUUUUACUUAUAAUCGUUCGAUUGGAAAAUACUAUUCCGCAAGCCAGUUGUUUGUGUUUAAUUAAUUAUAAUAAUUAUACGAAAACGAGACUGCUUCCCGAAUGGUAUGGUUAGAACAAAUUUAGAUAAAACGGAUCAGCUAUUGGGUUCGAAGUUCUGAGUUGACCAAUUGAUUCAUCCUAAGAACAUUUUGCUAUAAAAGACUACA
This is a long non-coding RNA of Bradysia coprophila, 245 nucleotides long. Lineage: Eukaryota; Metazoa; Arthropoda; Insecta; Diptera; Sciaridae. The record is from RefSeq and is a predicted model, not a curated record.